CAACGAGAAAUACAAUUGGAACAAAUAAAUCGUUAUAUUUGAUUAUGUAGCAAUUAAUAUUUGAAAAAUACUCCAUUUGGAAGCUAAUUUUUUUUAUUUUUCUUCCCUCCCACACACCUAAAAGAGAGGGUAUUCAUGCUCUUUGCCACAUCAGCAUCUAGGAGGGUCAAGACUAUCAAAUUUUCAAGUUCGGGAGGGGGGGAGGGGGGGGUUAUGGGUAUUAAAGACCACAAAAAAUUUAAGGGGGAACUAAGCAAAAGUUGCCCAGUCUAGGGGGGUCCCGAACAUUUCUACCCAUUGAAAAAUAGCAAGAAAAGACCAAGUCCAAGUGAACGAUUGGAAGAAUUAAAGUUGUAACCUAAGUUGCUCCGACAUGGCAGUUUAGGUGCCGCACCCGUGUCGACACGACACUAGUAUGGGUGUGGGUAUGGGAUCCGUAUAGGAUCUGGUCAAACAAUUUUGGGUACUUUGACCACGACGGACAGAAAAAUUCGAGACGAGAUACAAUUUGAUUACCAAAAUCAAAACUAAAACUAGGGUAAAUUUGAAGAAAAUAGCAUAUCUUAUCUAGGUAAAUAAUCUUUUAUUUAUCUAUAACUUGAGAAUAAAAAGAAAAUCCACACUUUACAAGCUAUACGUAACUUUUCCACAAAAUUUCUCAUAAAUUAGAGAGAUUUCUAUUUUUUAAAAUUAUUUUUAGCCUAAUCCCCGCACCCGUAUCCGUACUAGGAUCCGUAUCCCCGAAUUUUAAAUUUACAUCUUGAAAGAUCCGACCUCUAGAUCCGCACCCGUGUCGGACACCCGCACCCGUGUCCGAGCAACUUAGGUUGUAACUGAAGGCCAAAAAUUUACGUAGCCUACGAUGCGAAGCACGUAGCUUACGUACCUAGAAAAUGGGAUUAAGAUGAAGACUGGGAUGUUCUGGUUUUGCCUACGUGAAGCACACAGCCUACAUGGGGAAAAAUCACCUGAAGAAGCUGAAGCUCACGCAGCCUACGUGAAGCCCUGAAGAAAGCAGCCUACUUGAAGCAUGAAUCUGAAGCUAGGUGGGGCCAACCAAAGGCAAUUUUGUCCACUUUUGGGACUUGAUAUAUAUAGAAGUUUAGGUCAUUUUUAGGUCAUCUUUGCUUCUCAUUUGUACUCCAUAGUAGCCUUUAGCUAAUUUGGGAAGGAUUGGAAGAUCAACAACACCUUGUUUGG
Molecule: long non-coding RNA, 1200 nt
Filed under: Nicotiana tabacum (common tobacco)
Lineage: Eukaryota; Viridiplantae; Streptophyta; Magnoliopsida; Solanales; Solanaceae
Description: long non-coding RNA (NTAB_LNC000985)
Source: RNAcentral